GGCGGCUAUGGCUGAUGGAAAGCCCCGAAAUGCAUAGGCAUGAGCUGCUUUGCAUGAUAUUAGCAUGAUGCUAUAAUUGCUAUGGGCUGGAGGUUG
Non-coding RNA from Chelonoidis abingdonii (Abingdon island giant tortoise), 96 nucleotides. Lineage: Eukaryota; Metazoa; Chordata; Testudines; Testudinidae. The record is from RefSeq and is a predicted model, not a curated record.